This 349-nucleotide unclassified non-coding RNA is filed under the name Hevea brasiliensis (rubber tree). Lineage: Eukaryota; Viridiplantae; Streptophyta; Magnoliopsida; Malpighiales; Euphorbiaceae. The record is from RNAcentral.
UUUCUUUGCGGUGAUCUUGUGAUAUGUUGCUUUCAUGAUAUUUACAAUGUGCAGCUUGCUCCAAGGCGCCUAGAAAAGUGUCCUUUUGUUCUUUUCCCUUUAACAAACAGUAUAUUAAAAUUACUAUGGAAAAAAUUUGGGUACAUUUUAGAAUUAAAAUUACUUUUUUCCCCAUGUGAGGUAUUACUGGAAUUUUGCUGAAUGGAAUAAUUAGCACCUUAUUUUGAAUGACGUAUUCCGGUGAAACAAUUAAGGGAACCUGCACUGUCAUUAAGUUAUACUGUGUUUUUUAGGGAUAAAAAAAUGUUUUUUUGUCACAAUGAUUCAAUCAGAAUUUUGCUGCAAUUUU